UACACAGAAAGAGUAAUGUUAUACACAUAAAUAUUAACAUUUUGUAGAGCAACAACACAAUAAAAAACCAAAAUAUGAACACCAGCAACUAAAACAGGAACCAUUAAAUGAAUAUUACACACAGCAAUAACAGCAUCAAAUAAUGGAAAUAAUGGACCCUACUGCUCAAAUCAAAAACAAAAUUUCAUCAUUACCACUUUAUUGGUUAUAUCAAUAAAAGAAAUUAUUGAGUUUAUGAGUCUAGAUCCUACAAGCAAGCAGAUCUAUCACAUAAUUUUAAAUGAAGAUUUAUCUAUUAUAGUAAUUUAUUCUAAUAACAAAAAAAAACUUUGGAUCAAAAAAUAUUUUCUUCUGAUGAGGUUUAUGAAUAUUAAAGUCUGUUGAAGUUUGGCCAUUAUGUGUUGGUAUACAAUUUAUUUAUGAUGUUACAGUAG
Molecule: long non-coding RNA, 434 nt
Organism: Sitophilus oryzae (rice weevil)
Lineage: Eukaryota; Metazoa; Arthropoda; Insecta; Coleoptera; Curculionidae
Exons: 3
Source: RefSeq, a predicted model, not a curated record